RNAcentral lists this ribosomal RNA (253 nucleotides) under uncultured bacterium. Its description in RNAcentral is "partial 16S ribosomal RNA". It matches the Rfam family "Bacterial small subunit ribosomal RNA", at positions 524 to 776 of the family's 1533-position model. The record is from RNAcentral.
UACGAAGGGUGCUAGCGUUGUUCGGAAUUACUGGGCGUAAAGCGCACGCAGGCGGUUUGAUAAGUCGGGGGUGAAAUCCCGGGGCUCAACCUCGGAAUUGCCUUCGAUACUGUUAGUCUUGAGUCCGGGAGAGGUGAGUGGAAUUCCUAGUGUAGAGGUGAAAUUCGUAGAUAUUAGGAAGAACACCAGUGGCGAAGGCGGCUCACUGGCCCGGUACUGACGCUCAUGUGCGAAAGCGUGGGGAGCAAACAGG